UACGUAGGGUGCAAGCGUUGUUCGGAAUCAUUGGGCGUAAAGCGCGUGUAGGCGGUUAAUUAAGUCGAGUGUGAAAUCCCUGGGCUCAACCGAGGAAGUGCAUUCGAAACUAACUGGCUAGAAGACGGUAGAGGAAGGUGGAAUUCCAAGUGUAGAGGUGAAAUUCGUAGAUAUUUGGAGGAAUACCGGUGGCGAAGGCGGCCUUCUGGACCGGUCUUGACGCUGAGACGCGAAAGCGUGGGGAGCAAACAG
Molecule: ribosomal RNA, 252 nt
Filed under: uncultured bacterium
Lineage: Bacteria
Description: partial 16S ribosomal RNA
Rfam family: Bacterial small subunit ribosomal RNA
Source: RNAcentral